RNAcentral lists this long non-coding RNA (221 nucleotides) under Solanum tuberosum (potato). RNAcentral describes it as "long non-coding RNA (STUB_LNC011492)". Lineage: Eukaryota; Viridiplantae; Streptophyta; Magnoliopsida; Solanales; Solanaceae. The record is from RNAcentral.
AAUGAGUCCUUAUAUGAUGUUAUGAAGUAUGUUGGUCUUAUGUCUAAUGUUAAAUGAAGAUGUUAUGACUUGUUGAAUAUGAUGUGCCUAGUCUAUGGUGGCUUCCUAGGAACACUUGGUGUGAGUAGUAUUAUGGGAUGCUAUUUGCACAUUGUACUAGUGUGACUUGGGGGUUGUCUUAGGUGAUGGUUCCUAUGUGAAGACUAUGUCUUAUGGUGUGC